Molecule: ribosomal RNA, 400 nt
Filed under: uncultured bacterium
Lineage: Bacteria
Description: bacterial SSU rRNA
Rfam family: Bacterial small subunit ribosomal RNA
Source: RNAcentral
UGAGGAAUUUUGCGCAAUGGGAGCCAUCCUGACGCAGCAACGCCGCGUGGGUGAAGAAGGCCUUCGGGUCGUAAAGCCCUGUCGGGUGGGAAGAACGCUUGGGGGGUGACAAGCCCCCUGGGGUGACGGUACCACCAGAGGAAGCACCGGCUAACUCCGUGCCAGCAGCCGCGGUAAUACGGAGGGUGCGAGCGUUAUUCGGAAUUACUGGGCGUAAAGCGCGUGCAGGCGGCCUGAGCAGUCUGAUGUGAAAGCCCCGGGCUUAACCUGGGAAGUGCAUUGGAAACCAUCGGGCUUGAGAGCUGGAGAGGAAGGGAGAAUUCCCGGUGUAGAGGUGAAAUUCGUAGAGAUCGGGAGGAACACCAGUGGCGAAGGCGCCCUUCUGGACAGCCACUGACGC